UGGCUCAGAUUGAACGCUGGCGGCAUGCUUUACACAUGCAAGUCGAACGGCAAGCGGGGGCUUCGGCCUGCCGGCGAGUGGCGAACGGGUGAGUAAUGCAUCGGAACGUGCCCAUGUCGUGGGGGAUAACGUAGCGAAAGCUACGCUAAUACCGCAUACGCCCUGAGGGGGAAAGCGGGGGAUUCUUCGGAACCUUCGCGCGAUUGGAGCGGCCGAUGUCGGAUUAGCUAGUAGGUGAGGUAAAGGCUCACCUAGGCGACGAUCCGUAGCGGGUCUGAGAGGAUGAUCCGCCACACUGGGACUGAGACACGGCCCAGACUCCUACGGGAGGCAGCAGUGGGGAAUUUUGGACAAUGGGCGCAAGCCUGAUCCAGCCAUGCCGCGUGAGUGAAGAAGGCCUG
RNAcentral lists this ribosomal RNA (401 nucleotides) under uncultured bacterium. RNAcentral's name for it is "bacterial SSU rRNA". It matches the Rfam family "Bacterial small subunit ribosomal RNA", at positions 20 to 418 of the family's 1533-position model. The record is from RNAcentral.